Molecule: ribosomal RNA, 202 nt
Filed under: uncultured Planctomycetota bacterium
Lineage: Bacteria; Pseudomonadati; Planctomycetota
Description: uncultured planctomycete partial 16S ribosomal RNA
Rfam family: Bacterial small subunit ribosomal RNA
Source: RNAcentral
CAAAGGAAGAACGGCAUCUGAAACUGCAGAUCUUGAGUGUAGGAGGGGAGAGUGGAACUUCUGGUGGAGCGGUGAAAUGCGUAGAUAUCAGAAGGAACGUCGGCGGCGAAAGCGACUCUCUGGCCUAUUACUGACACUGAGUGUGCGAAAGUUAGGGGAGCAAACGGGAUUAGAUACCCCGGUAGUCCUAACUGUAAACGAU